RNAcentral lists this ribosomal RNA (107 nucleotides) under Capillaster multiradiatus. RNAcentral describes it as "partial 28S large subunit ribosomal RNA". It matches the Rfam family "Eukaryotic large subunit ribosomal RNA", at positions 839 to 946 of the family's 3401-position model. The record is from RNAcentral. Lineage: Eukaryota; Metazoa; Echinodermata; Crinoidea; Comatulida; Comatulidae.
GAGCAGGACGAACCAGAGGAAACUCUGGUGGAAGUCCGCAGCGAUUCUGACGUGCAAAUCGAUCGUCAAACUUGGGNAUAGGGGCGARAGACUAAUCGAACCAUCUA